This 72-nucleotide transfer RNA is filed under the name Rattus norvegicus (Norway rat). It matches the Rfam family "tRNA". From Rfam's summary of the family: Transfer RNA (tRNA) molecules are approximately 80 nucleotides in length. Their secondary structure includes four short double-helical elements and three loops (D, anti-codon, and T loops). Lineage: Eukaryota; Metazoa; Chordata; Mammalia; Rodentia; Muridae. The record is from Rfam by way of RNAcentral.
GGGGAUUUGGCUCAGUGGUAGAGAGCUUGCCUAGCAAGCACAAGGUCCUGGGUUCGGUCCCCAGCUCCCCCC